CGCUACACAUGCAAGUCGAACGGUUAAAGCACCUUUUAGGUGUGUAUAAAGUGGCGAACGGCUGAGUAACACGUGGGCAACCUGCCCUCCUCUUGGGGAUAGCCUCGGGAAACCGAGGAUAAUACCCGAUACUUCAAUGUGGCCGCAUGACGACAUUGAGAAAGCUUUUGCGGAGAAGGAUGGGCCCGCGGCCUGUUAGCUUGUUGGUGGGGUAGAGGCCUACCAAGGCAAUGAUGGGUAGCUGGGUUGAGAGACCGACCAGCCAGAUUGGGACUGAGACACGGCCCAGACUCCUACGGGAGGCAGCAGUGGGGAAUCUUGCACAAUGGGCGAAAGCCUGAUGCAGCGACGCCGCGUGCGGGACGAAGGCCUUCGGGUUGUAAACCGCUUUCAGCAGGGACGAGGCGAAAGUGACGGUACCUGCAGAAGAAGCCCCGGCUAACUACGUGCCAGCAGCCGCGGUAAUACGUAGGGGGCAAGCGUUAUCCGGAUUCAUUGGGCGUAAAGCGCUCGUAGGCGGUCUGUUAGGUCGGGAGUUAAAUCCGGAGGCUCAACCUCCGCCCGCUCCCGAUACCGGCAGACUUGAGUUUGGUAGGGGAAGGUGGAAUUCCUAGUGUAGCGGUGGAAUGCGCAGAUAUUAGGAAGAACACCAGUGGCGAAGGCGGCCUUCUGGGCCAUAACUGACGCUGAGGAGCGAAAGCUAGGGGAGCAAACAGGAUUAGAUACCCUGGUAGUCCUAGCUGUAAACGAUGGACACUAGGUGUGGGAGAAUACGUCUUCCGUGCCGCAGCUAACGCAUUAAGUGUCCCGCCUGGGGAGUACGGCCGCAAGGCUAAAACUCAAAGGAAUUGACGGGGACCCGCACAAGCAGCGGAGCAUGUGGUUUAAUUCGAAGCAACGCGAAGAACCUUACCAGGGCUUG
This 922-nucleotide ribosomal RNA is filed under the name uncultured bacterium. Its description in RNAcentral is "bacterial SSU rRNA". It matches the Rfam family "Bacterial small subunit ribosomal RNA", at positions 47 to 983 of the family's 1533-position model. The record is from RNAcentral.